This 2120-nucleotide long non-coding RNA is filed under the name Homo sapiens (human). RNAcentral describes it as "HSALNT0348300". The record is from RNAcentral. Lineage: Eukaryota; Metazoa; Chordata; Mammalia; Primates; Hominidae.
CUUCUGUGAGCAACUGGGUCUCUCAGUUCUUUGGGAGCACCCUGGGAAACAGUGUGGCUAUGACUUGGAGCUGCUCACCAGUUCCAGUCAUUCUGUGGUUGAGAGCUGCUCCCUAUGGAUGUUAAUUCUUCUCUAUUUUAGAUUUUCCACAGGUGUGGGCCCCAUUAGCUCUGGCCACCUGAGAAAGCCCUCAGGCAAAGAGUCGCAGGUGAAAGCCAGCAGUUAGAGGUUCACAGAAAUGGCAACUUUCUCUAUGGUGGGUACCGUAGAAGACUAGAAGUUUCUAUUAUAACACAUUCAUCAUUUUGAAAAAUGAAGGUGGCUGGCUGCAGUGGCUCACGCCUGUAAUCCCAGCACUUUGGGAGGCCGAGGCGGGUGGAUCACCUGAGGUCAGGAGUUCGAGACCAGCCUGGACAACAUGGUGAAACCCUGUCUCUACUAAAAAUACAAAAUUAGCUGGGUGUGGUGGCGGGUGCCUGUAAUCCCAGCUACUUGGGAGGCUGAGGCAGGAGAAUAGCUUGCACCCAGGAGGCGAAGGUUGCAGUGAGUCGAGAUCAUGCCACGGCACUCUAGCCUGGACAACAGAACGAGACUCCGUCUCAAAAAAAAAAAAAAAAAGUGUGAAGCUAUCUGAAGAUUGACUCAAUUGACCUGAUGCAAUGAGGAAGUCCACUAGAGGAUUUAAGCAAUAGGCCAAGUUUUCAAUCAAAUCUUAAAAUAAUUAAGUGACCUUAAAAUUCUUGACUAAAUUUCUGAGUGAUCACUUGUGUAUUCUCAUCAAAUGAGGUAGUUAAGAGACCUGAGGAAGAGAAUACUUUUGGAUCUGAGUUUCUGUCUGUUAAGUAAAAAUGGAUUUGUUGUAUAAUCUGAGUAAGCUGUUUACCAUCUCAAGAGUCUCCAUUAAGAAAAAAAAUGUUAGAUAGUGGACAACAAUGCUCUCUUUAUGAGGAUUACAUGGUGUAAAGUGACUGUCAUGUGUCAAAGCUUCAUAAAUUGGGGAAAUAGAUAAAUAACUGUGGAUAGUUUUGCCUUUUUGUAAACAGAUACUGAUAAAAAGACCUAGAAUAAAGGCUCUCUCUUUUAAUAAUUUCUGAAUUUCUUGUAACUUUCCACUGCCUUUCACUCAAACUCCCCAUUACUCCAGUUAUGCAGCAUUUAUGCUGGGGGCUUUAUGGGCUGCCAUUGCUGCUGUGCAUGCUUUUCCAUUUAAUUUUAAAGUUCCAUUGUUCUAGGGCAUUAGGAUUGUUAUCAGAUUUCUUAAGGUCAAGGUCAGUGAGUCAAAUAUACUGGAGCAUAAAACAUUUUUUUCAUCCUUUUAAAAGUCACAUUUAUUUUGAAAAGACCAGGAAACCCACCCAUCUUUACCUCUCCUUAAUGUUGAUCCAAUCUGAGCUUUAAAUUUUUUACUUUUUGCAGCAUGAUUUGUAACAUAGAUGGCUAGCCUUAAAUUUGGCCAAAAAAAAAAAAAAAAAGGGUUUCUUUUUUGCUUUUGCUGAAGCGAGCCCUUCUGGUCAUCUAUAGGUCAGCUCUUGUUGGUGAACUGAUGACAGUGGAGGCACCUGCACUUUGGAAAUAAACAUUAUAUCAAAAGAAGUCAAGCAGCAAAGGUUAAACCAGAACAUGGACCCUGUUGCUCACAUGAGCCCCAGGCAGGCAUUCUAUAGAAUCUGAGAAGCUAGUCUCUAGGGAGAGGCAGAACUUUGUGUUCUCGCCCAAUCACUCUCCACUGCUGCUCAGGACAAUGCAGACAUGCCCUAGUGAAAGUCAGCUCUACCCACGCAAAGCGAGAUAGGAGAACAUUUUAGGGUGAAACUAGAAAAUGAUACAUGAAGAUAAUUGCAAAAAAUAAAGUGAUUUUAAAGUUUUCUUUGGGGCAUGGUCAUCUGCAUGGGGAUAUCUAGAACUGUGGCAGCCAUCUGGAGACCUUGAAGCAAGUCAGUCUAAAAGCAGACACUUUGCUAUGUCUUAAAUCUCACUAUUGGCAAAAUGGAAAGAAGAAAAGCAUCUAUGUUUAUUACUUCCACUGGUUUACUGAAUUAACCAACAUAACAAGAAAGGAGAGAGUUUCAGGAAUUUUUGUAUGUUAAAGAAGUGAUUUUUAGAUGUUAGCAACUAUAAAC